This 473-nucleotide ribosomal RNA is filed under the name uncultured bacterium. Its description in RNAcentral is "bacterial SSU rRNA". It matches the Rfam family "Bacterial small subunit ribosomal RNA", at positions 355 to 825 of the family's 1533-position model. The record is from RNAcentral.
UCGAGAAUCAUUCGCAAUGGGCGAAAGCCUGACGGUGCGACGCCGCGUGGAGGAUGAAGGCCCUAGGGUCGUAAACUCCUGUCAUCAGGGAGUAAUGGCUCAUAUAGUAACUGAUAUGGGUCUUGAUAGUACCUGAAGAGGAAGGGACGGCAAACUUCGUGCCAGCAGCCGCGGUAAUACGAAGGUCCCAAGCGUUGUUCGGAUUUACUGGGCGUAAAGAGUCUGUAGGCGGUGGGGUAAGUCAGAUGUGAAAUCCCGGGGCUCAACCCCGGAACUGCCUUUGAUACUGUUAGUCUCGAGUCCGGAAGAGGUGAGUGGAAUUCCUAGUGUAGAGGUGAAAUUCGUAGAUAUUAGGAAGAACACCAGUGGCGAAGGCGGCUCACUGGUCCGGUACUGACGCUGAGGUGCGAAAGCGUGGGGAGCAAACAGGAUUAGAUACCCUUGUAGUCCCUGAGCGGGCUGGCAAGGCGCAU